AUGACGUCGUUUUGUCGUUACGGGUUACACGUGUUUUCUAAGCGUUACUUGUCGUUCGUCGUGACCGUUCACUCACUCGUCUGCUGCUGGUCCCGUUGCCGGAGCAGCCCGUCGAAAAAUUCGGCGGCAAAGUCGCGGACGUUUUCCGGCUGUUCCCGGAUGACGGCCCGGACGAACCGAUCGGCCAAACAGUCCAGACCCCGGGGUAUUUCCGUCCGUUUCCUGUACGCCUCGUAAGCCAUACGC
Cinara cedri is the source of this 246-nucleotide non-coding RNA. NCBI's taxonomy places the organism in Eukaryota, Metazoa, Arthropoda, Insecta, Hemiptera, Aphididae. The record is from the annotation of a GenBank genome assembly.